Non-coding RNA from Pelobates cultripes (western spadefoot toad), 218 nucleotides. Lineage: Eukaryota; Metazoa; Chordata; Amphibia; Anura; Pelobatidae. The record is from the annotation of a GenBank genome assembly.
AUAAACAUCAGCUAUAAAACAAGGCGUUUUGACUGAAGAGUUUAUGGCCUAGUCAGUCUAAUCCAAUGUGUUUUUUCACAGUUUGAUUGUACUGUUACUGGUCAAUUCAAAUGUAUAUUGUCUGUCUUAUUCAAUGUAAUCGUGAGAUUUCCUGACUAUGAUUCACGUAUUACCAUGACAUGCGCACAGUCAGAUCUCCGGCAAGACGCUAACCUUAC